AAGGCUCUUUAACUUUAUUAAAGCAGGGGGUCUAGUAGUUUAACUAUUUAGAAGAUAGAUUUUAAAUAAGGCUCUUUAACUUAUGAUAUAUUUAAAAGCUAUCUUCUAACUAGUUAAACUACCAGACCCCUGCUUUAAUAUAAAGUAAUAAUCACCCUU
This 159-nucleotide microRNA precursor is filed under the name Populus trichocarpa (black cottonwood). Its description in RNAcentral is "miR6465 stem-loop (ptc-MIR6465)". Lineage: Eukaryota; Viridiplantae; Streptophyta; Magnoliopsida; Malpighiales; Salicaceae. The record is from miRBase by way of RNAcentral.